UGAUAACUGGACGAACCGAUCCAGAAUUCCUGCCGGGAAGGCAAGCAAUGAACGAAUAUUUGUCCAUGGUAGCCACUCUGACACAGCCAUGCCGCGUGCAGAUGACGUCCUAUGGAUUGUAAACUGUUUGAUACAAGAAGAAACCUCCCUAAGGGGAGGGACUCGACGGUACUGUAAAGAAUAAAGAAUCCGCUAACUCCGUGCCAGCAGCCGCGGUAAUACGGAGGAUCCGAGCGUUAUCCGGAAUUAUUGGGAUUAAAAGAGGUUGUAGGGGGGCUUGUAAAGUCAAGUGGUGAAAUUUCCUAGGUUAAAUAGGACCCCGGCCAUUGAUACUGCAGAGCUUGAAUAAUAUGGAAGUAACUAGAAUAUGUAGUGUAGCGGUGAAAUGCUUAGAUAUUACAUGGAAUACCAAUUGCGAAGGCAGGUUAUUACGUAUUUAUUGACGCUGAUGAACGAAAGCGUGGGGAGCGAACAGGAUUAGAUACCCUGGUAGUCCACGCCGUAAACGAUGGAUACUAGCUGUUCGGACUUCGGUGUGAGUGGCUAAGCGAAAGUGAUAAGUAUCCCACCUGGGGAGUACGUUCGCAAGAAUGAAACUCAAAGGAAUUGACGGGGGCCCGCACAAGCGGUGGAGCAUGUGGUUUAAUUCGAUGAUACGCGAGGAACCUUACCAGGGCUUAAAUGUAGAUUGACAGAUUUGGAAACAGAUUUUUUUUCGGACAAUUUACAAGGUGCUGCAUGGUUGUCGUCAGCUCGUGCCGUGAGGUGUCAGGUUAAGUCCUAUAACGAGCGCAACCCCUAUUGUUAGUUACCAGCGCGUUAAGGCGGGGACUCUAGCAAGACUGCCGGUGCAAACCGUGAGGAAGGUGGGGAGGACGUCAAAUCAUCACGGCCCUUACGUCCUGGGUUACACACGUGCUACAAUGGCAAGUACAGAAAGCAGCUACCUGGCAACAGGAUGUGAAUCUCCAAAGCUUGUCUCAGUUCGGAUUGGAGUUUGCAACUCGACUUUAUGAAGCUGGAAUCGCUAGUAAUUGGAUAUCAGCCAUGAUCCGGUGAAUACGUUCCCGGGCCUUGUACACACCGCCCGUCAAGCCAUGGAAGCUGGGGGUACCUAAGUCAGCUCCGCAAGCAGCCCUUAUGGUUCCCCCCGGGGGCCCCGGAUAUUUUC
This 1171-nucleotide ribosomal RNA is filed under the name Myroides profundi. RNAcentral describes it as "bacterial SSU rRNA". It matches the Rfam family "Bacterial small subunit ribosomal RNA", at positions 308 to 1487 of the family's 1533-position model. The record is from RNAcentral. Lineage: Bacteria; Pseudomonadati; Bacteroidota; Flavobacteriia; Flavobacteriales; Flavobacteriaceae.